GACAGAGGGUGCAAACGUUGUUCGGAAUUACUGGGCGUAAAGCGCGUGUAGGCUGUCGUGCAAGUCGGAUGUGAAAGCCCAGGGCUCAACCUUGGAAGUGCAUUCGAAACUGCAAGACUUGAAUCUCGGAGAGGGUGGCGGAAUUCUGGGUGUAGAGGUGAAAUUCGUAGAUAUCCAGAGGAACACCGGUGGCGAAGGCGGCCACCUGGACGAGUAUUGACGCUGAGACGCGAAAGUGUGGGGAGCAAAC
This 250-nucleotide ribosomal RNA is filed under the name uncultured bacterium. RNAcentral describes it as "partial 16S ribosomal RNA". It matches the Rfam family "Bacterial small subunit ribosomal RNA", at positions 524 to 773 of the family's 1533-position model. The record is from RNAcentral.